AAAAAGGUAGCUGAGCAAUACACUGAAAGAAGUUACAAAAUGGCUCUUUUUACCAAGAUUAAUCUUGCAAUAUUUGUCUUAAUCCUCUUAUGGUUUUACAAUUCUCAUUCCACUUCAGCCUCCUCAUUUCACAGUCAGAGUGAGACCCGAAACUCAGGUUUGGUUCCAGGUUGCGCGAGCGGAUACAGAAAGCUAGGGCUUAUGAUCUGUGAAAAUGCAGGUGAUUCAACAAAAUUGGUCUCAGAGGCUCAAAGGUGAACUGCCGUCGCCGCGACCACCGAUCGAGAAACGUGCACCAGAAUGGACGCAUGCUCCGCCACCGCCCCUAAAAAAUGAAUGAAUCUCAUCACCGAACAAUAAGAAAUUUAUGUAUACAUGUAUAUGAUGUACGCAAUGUUAUCUCUUCUUGCAAUGUGCUUAGGUUCUGUAUUAUUAAGUACUGUUAAUCUAUGAAUUUCAUUUACUUUUUGUAAGACAAGAGGAAGCUUUUAAAAUGCAUGUUCCGUUGAA
Molecule: long non-coding RNA, 510 nt
Organism: Daucus carota subsp. sativus
Lineage: Eukaryota; Viridiplantae; Streptophyta; Magnoliopsida; Apiales; Apiaceae
Exons: 2
Source: RefSeq, a predicted model, not a curated record